This 372-nucleotide long non-coding RNA is filed under the name Homo sapiens (human). RNAcentral describes it as "HSALNT0130150". The record is from RNAcentral. Lineage: Eukaryota; Metazoa; Chordata; Mammalia; Primates; Hominidae.
AGCGGAUGCAGCCCCGCAAGGUGACCUGACAGGCCUUUGGGAAUGCUCCAGAAGAAAAGGUUCACUUGAAUUCAAUAAGGAAACCAAGGAAUUGCUCAGAAGAAUAUUUCAGUCCUGAUAUUUGCUGUAACUAAUAAUUACUGGAUAAACAGAGAAGACACAUGGAGGAUAUUUUACCUGGGUCCAACAAAACCAUAGCAACAGCAGCAAGUUGAAAAGAGCAAAAAAAAAAAAAAGAGAGAGACCGAAGUACAAUUACAAUCCCAUCCCACAAAAAGGUCAAGGGCUACCUGAAAGACCGGUGGCCCCAGGAUCCUCAAAGCAUCCAAACCAUCCCUAUACUCUCAGAGACAAAAUCUGACCUUCUCCCCC